UACAGAGGGGGCAAGCGUUAUUCGGAAUUAUUGGGCGUAAAGGGCGCGUAGGCGGCUGUACAAGUCAAAGGUGAAAUCCCUCGGCUCAACUGAGGAACUGCCUUUGAAACUGUACGGCUUGAGGCCGGGAGGGGGUAGCGGAAUUCCCAAUGUAGCGGUGAAAUGCGUAGAUAUUGGGAGGAACACCAGUGGCGAAGGCGGCUACCUGGACCGGUUCUGACGCUGAGGCGCGAAAGCGUGGGUAGCAAACAGG
RNAcentral lists this ribosomal RNA (253 nucleotides) under uncultured bacterium. RNAcentral's name for it is "partial 16S ribosomal RNA". It matches the Rfam family "Bacterial small subunit ribosomal RNA", at positions 524 to 776 of the family's 1533-position model. The record is from RNAcentral.